This 1055-nucleotide long non-coding RNA is filed under the name Marmota monax (woodchuck). Lineage: Eukaryota; Metazoa; Chordata; Mammalia; Rodentia; Sciuridae. The record is from RNAcentral.
CUUACUUUAGUUGCAGGACGAUCAAAGUUAACAGCAUAGGAUUGGGAGCUGUAAUGCCUAAUCUUGUAAUGCUGGUGUUGUAUCUACCUUGCUUGGUGCCUUUGGGAAGCAGUUCUAGUGUUCUCAACCUCCGUUUUCUUAUCUAUAAAUGGUCAGAUAAAUAGUUUCUAAAUCAUAUAUUAUUGUGAGAAUUGAGAGAUUUAAUAUAUCAGCACUUUGCAGGCACUAUACAUAUUUGUUAUAAACAUCAUAAUCACCCAAAUUUCUAUGUUCUUGUACUUGUCAUUAACCUAUAUGGCUCCCUACUGUACCUGGUGAUACCAUAUCUCAACUAAUUGGCCAGUAUCUUGCAUUCUCUUGAUAUUUUUCAAGGUCAAUUUUUAUUUAUUUUUAAGUUUUUAGCCAAUCUUUAUUUUUGAAUACUUUUUGAUAUACAGAAAAAUUGCAACAUUAGCACAAGAGUUAUUAUAUAUCUUUCACCCAGCUUCCUCCAGUGUUAACAUGGCACAUAAACUCCAUUUAUCAAAACUAAGAAAUUAGCGUUGAUACAAUAUAUUGACUGGAUUACAGACUUCUUUGGGAUUUCACCAGACUUUCUACUAAUGUCUCUUUUCUAUUCCAGAAAGGAGUCCAGAAUAUUGCCCUGCAGUUUGUACUAUUUUUUUUUCUUCAUGAGCUUUUUAAAAUGGACACCCAUGGUUGGGUAUAACAGUGCUCACGUGCACAGUUUUGUCCAGAAGAAACAAGGUCCAUGGCAUCCUUCAUUAGCUGGUUUGAUGCAUCUCAGAGACAUCGAUCAUCCACUUUCCUCACGAUGACCAAAGUGCACAGAGAGGACAAAAAGUUUCCUUAUUUGAAAGUUGCAUGUUCAGAAGUUAGGGAGCACGUGAGAAUAAACAGAUGGUAGGGAACAGGGCUUCUGUUCAGAAACUCUUGUCAGGCUUGUGGGAUUUGGUCCAGGUUGAUGGCUCACAAAAAAAGAGAGCAAAUGUGGAAACACUCCAGUCUCUUCUGAUUUGUGCAAAAGUUUAUAUAGAGAGACAUUUGUUCAUUUA